AGCGGCAGACGGGAGAGUAACACGUGGGAACGUGCCCUUCAGUUCGGAACAACCCAGGGAAACUUGGGCUAAUACCGGAUACGUCCGUAAGGAGAAAGAUUUAUCGCUGAAGGAUCGGCCCGCGUCUGAUUAGCUAGUUGGUGAGGUAACGGCUCACCAAGGCUACGAUCAGUAGCUGGUCUGAGAGGAUGAUCAGCCUCACUGGGACUGAGACACGGCCCAGACUCCUACGGGAGGCAGCAGUGGGGAAUAUUGGACAAUGGGCGCAAGCCUGAUCCAGCCAUGCCGCGUGGGUGAUGAAGGCCCUAGGGUUGUAAAGCCCUUUCGGCGGGGAAGAUAAUGACGGUACCCGCAAAAGAAGCCCCGGCUAACUUCGUGCCAGCAGCCGCGGUAAUACGAAGGGGGCUAGCGUUGCUCGAAUCACUGGGCGUAAAAGCGCACUUAGGCGGCUUUUUAAGUCAGGGGUGAAAUCCUGGAAGCUCCAAUUCCAAAACUUCCUU
This 500-nucleotide ribosomal RNA is filed under the name uncultured bacterium. RNAcentral describes it as "bacterial SSU rRNA". It matches the Rfam family "Bacterial small subunit ribosomal RNA", at positions 94 to 628 of the family's 1533-position model. The record is from RNAcentral.